GGUAUGGGAUGGACANGAUGCUUACAUUAGGCUGGCCCCAGAACCGGUGCUGUUUGGCUGUCGUCAGCUCGUGUCGUGAGAUGUUGGGUUAAGUCCCGCAACGAGCGCAACCCUCGCCCUUAGUUGCCAGCAUUUAGUUGGGCACUCUAAGGGGACUGCCGGUGAUAAGCCGAGAGGAAGGUGGGGAUGACGUCAAGUCCUCAUGGCCCUUACGGGCUGGGCUACACACGUGCUACAAUGGUGGUGACAGUGGGCAGCGAGACAGCGAUGUCGAGCUAAUCUCCAAAAGCCUNUCUCAGUUCGGAUUGCACUCUGCAACUCGAGUGCAUGAAGUUGGAAUCGCUAGUAAUCGCAGAUCAGCAUGCUGCGGUGAAUACGUUC
RNAcentral lists this ribosomal RNA (381 nucleotides) under Rhizobium sp. LGIRV. Its description in RNAcentral is "bacterial SSU rRNA". It matches the Rfam family "Bacterial small subunit ribosomal RNA", at positions 992 to 1373 of the family's 1533-position model. Lineage: Bacteria; Pseudomonadati; Pseudomonadota; Alphaproteobacteria; Hyphomicrobiales; Rhizobiaceae. The record is from RNAcentral.